Molecule: long non-coding RNA, 993 nt
Filed under: Homo sapiens (human)
Lineage: Eukaryota; Metazoa; Chordata; Mammalia; Primates; Hominidae
Description: novel transcript
Source: RNAcentral
AUUCUCUCACCUGCCUUCUGCCCUUAAGCUCCGGUAGAUUGCAAAUAACCUGCUUUCUUUCUGUUCCCGAGCUGCGUUCGGACCCGUCGGAUCGUAAAUCCCACGUAAGGUCGGAAGAUUUGAACUUUCUACUUGGACACCUAACACCCACAGUCCUCCAGCUGCGUUCGGACCCGUCUGAUCGUAAAUCCCAUGUAAGGUACCUGCCGUCGGAAGAUUUGAACGUUCUACUUGGACACCUAAAACCCACAGUCCUCCAGGGUAGGAGUUCAUUCGAAUAAAGUUCACUUAAGACACACUUAUCUACAAACAGUCUUCAGAGAGGUGAUCGGAUGGAAGAUAUUAACAUGAUUCUGGAGUCUGCUAGGAGCUGCUCUGACUGGUGGCUACUGAGAUACCAGUGACGGGAAGGUGCUACAUCGUUAACAACAGUGCCUUUCAAAAAUGAUGAACUAUAAUCUACUGAAAACACAAGGACAAACCCUACUGUGAAGCAGUGGAGACUGGAGUCCUGCAUUUGCUGAACUUUCUUUUUAUGUGUUGGAUUCUGAUUUUAUAUUCAUUUCCAUUCAUGUGGACUCUGAAGAGUUAAACUCACCAAGGACACUUGAAGAAGUCACGUCCAGGGAUCACUGUCAUCACAAAUGGAGAAAAGGCCAAUGUCUUUCCAUGCUGCCUCACCAGAAAAGGACUGAGUUGGUACAGACCUUCACUCCAGCUUACUGUCCAUGACCUCGUCACACUCCAGGCCCAGGCUUGAGCUACAUGUUCUAGAAAGCCCCUAACUUCUCUAGGUCUCAAGUCUAAUCUCUGCAUCUGUGCCAGGUUCCCUGAGACUACUCUAAAGCUUGAUGAUUCACUAGGAUUCACAGGACUCAGAAAAGCUUACUUUUCUGAAUUAGAUGUACUGUUCUGAUAUAUUACAGCAAAAGGAUAUGAGUUCAAAUCAGAAUAAAAUAAAAGGUACAUGGGGCAGAGUCCAGGAGAAACCAG